AUGCCCUGCCAUGGGAAGAAGCACGUCCCUUCAAAUCUUGAUGAUAAUAUGGAGUUGUGGAAGAAAUUGAAAGACCGUAAUGACACCAAAAUAACUUUCAAAGGAUUGCUAGCCAAGAUGAAAGGCGACAAUACACCAAAUUUUGUCAGGCCAUUUGUCUUGUACACCAUAGGAAAAUAUGUAUGCCGAUCAAAAGAGGAGUAUGUGGAUAACAAAUAUAUUGGGAUUGUUAGAAACGUUGAGACGAUAAAGGGCACAAAUCUUGGACAACUAACGCUUGACUAUCUUAUGGAUAGCGUGAAGAAUUUUGUAAAUGGUGAGGCAAUUCUGGAGGAGAAUCUACCACUGCUGUAG
RNAcentral lists this ribosomal RNA (354 nucleotides) under Triticum aestivum (bread wheat). Its description in RNAcentral is "partial small subunit ribosomal RNA". The record is from RNAcentral. Lineage: Eukaryota; Viridiplantae; Streptophyta; Magnoliopsida; Poales; Poaceae.